GGGACACGUGGUAUCCUGUCUGAAUAUGGGGGGACCAUCCUCCAAGGCUAAAUACUCCUGACUGACCGAUAGUGAACCAGUACCGUGAGGGAAAGGCGAAAAGAACCCCGGCGAGGGGAGUGAAAAAGAACCUGAAACCGUGUACGUACAAGCAGUGGGAGCCCUGAUUUAUCAGGGUGACUGCGUACCUUUUGUAUAAUGGGUCAGCGACUUAUAUUCUGUAGCAAGGUUAACCGAAUAGGGGAGCCGGAGGGAAACCGAGUCUUAACUGGGCGUUAAGUUGCAGGGUAUAGACCCGAAACCCGGUGAUCUAGCCAUGGGCAGGUUGAAGGUUGGGUAACACUAACUGGAGGACCGAACCGACUAAUGUUGAAAAAUUAGCGGAUGACUUGUGGCUGGGGGUGAAAGGCCAAUCAAACCGGGAGAUAGCUGGUUCUCCCCGAAAGCUAUUUAGGUAGCGCCUCGUGAAUUCAUCUCCGGGGGUAGAGCACUGUUUCGGCAAGGGGGUCAUCCCGACUUACCAACCCGAUGCAAACUGCGAAUACCGGAGAAUGUUAUCACGGGAGACACACGGCGGGUGCUAACGUCCGUCGUGAAGAGGGAAACAACCCAGACCGCCAGCUAAGGUCCCAAAGUCAUGGUUAAGUGGGAAACGAUGUGGGAAGGCCCAGACAGCCAGGAUGUUGGCUUAGAAGCAGCCAUCAUUUAAAGAAAGCGUAAUAGCUCACUGGUCGAGUCGGCCUGCGCGGAAGAUGUAACGGGGCUAAACCAUGCACCGAAGCUGCGGCAGCGACGCUGAUGCGUUGUUGGGUAGGGGAGCGUUCUGUAAGCCUGUGAAGGUGUGCUGUGAGGUAUGCUGGAGGUAUCAGAAGUGCGAAUGCUGACAUAAGUAACGAUAAAGCGGGUGAAAAGCCCGCUCGCCGGAAGACCAAGGGUUCCUGUCCAACGUUAAUCGGGGCAGGGUGAGUCGACCCCUAAGGCGAGGCCGAAAGGCGUAGUCGAUGGGAAACAGGUUAAUAUUCCUGUACUUGGUGUUACUGCGAAGGGGGGACGGAGAAGGCUAUGUUGGCCGGGCGACGGUUGUCCCGGUUUAAGCGUGUAGGCUGGUUUUCCAGGCAAAUCCGGAGAAUCAAGGCUGAGGCGUGAUGACGAGGCACUACGGUGCUGAAGCAACAAAUGCCCUGCUUCCAGGAAAAGCCUCUAAGCAUCAGGUAACAUCAAAUCGUACCCCAAACCGACACAGGUGGU
This 1248-nucleotide ribosomal RNA is filed under the name Escherichia albertii. RNAcentral's name for it is "partial 23S ribosomal RNA". It matches the Rfam family "Bacterial large subunit ribosomal RNA", at positions 419 to 1667 of the family's 2925-position model. Lineage: Bacteria; Pseudomonadati; Pseudomonadota; Gammaproteobacteria; Enterobacterales; Enterobacteriaceae. The record is from RNAcentral.